AAACUUUUCUCGAUUUUUCUAUUCAAUUGUUGUUCAAUCCGGCAUCGUCAAUCGAAAACUUUGUUGAUUUUACAAUUCUUCCACUAUUCAAUCCCCUGUCGUCAAUGAAAAGGCUUUUUUAAUUCUUUUGCCACUCAACUCGGUUGCCAUCAACCAGAAUAUUCAUGAUAUUUUUAUCUUCUGUUGCUCAACCGCUCGCCGUCGACGGAAAAGUUUCCUAUAUAUCAAUUCUUCUACCGCUCAACUGGAAAUUGCAUUGAAUAUUCCAUUUGUUUUCACCAUUCUCCCUAAGGAAAUGAACGACGAAGAUGAUUCAAACUACAUGCAAAGUGAUUGUGAUGGUAUUUGGAUACUAAAUGGAAAUGAAUAAUAGAUGGUUAGGUGCUAAUGGACUGUAGUAGUGAUGACCACAUCUCAGUAGGAGCCGACGAGGAUGUAGCCCAGGUUGAUUGUUUUUUAAAGACAUCUAGUCAAAGGAGUAUGCUGGU
Long non-coding RNA from Cucumis melo (muskmelon), 488 nucleotides. RefSeq lists it as uncharacterized. NCBI's taxonomy places the organism in Eukaryota, Viridiplantae, Streptophyta, Magnoliopsida, Cucurbitales, Cucurbitaceae. The transcript has 3 exons. The record is from RefSeq and is a predicted model, not a curated record.